CGGCGGCCGUAACUAUAACGGUCCUAAGGUAGCGAAAUUCCUUGUCGGGUAAGUUCCGACCUGCACGAAUGGCGUAAUGAUGGCCAGGCUGUCUCCACCCGAGACUCAGUGAAAUUGAACUCGCUGUGAAGAUGCAGUGUACCCGCGGCAAGACGGAAAGACCCCGUGAACCUUUACUAUAGCUUGACACUGAACAUUGAGCCUUGAUGUGUAGGAUAGGUGGGAGGCUUUGAAGUGUGGACGCCAGUCUGCAUGGAGCCGACCUUGAAAUACCACCCUUUAAUGUUUGAUGUUCUAACGUGGGCCCCUUACCGGGGUUGCGGACAGUGUCUGGUGGGUAGUUUGACUGGGGCGGUCUCCUCCUAAAGAGUAACGGAGGAGCACGAAGGUUGGCUAAUCCUGGUCGGACAUCAGGAGGUUAGUGCAAUGGCAUAAGCCAGCUUGACUGCGAGCGUGACGGCGCGAGCAGGUGCGAAAGCAGGUCAUAGUGAUCCGGUGGUUCUGAAUGGAAGGGCCAUCGCUCAACGGAUAAAAGGUACUCCGGGGAUAACAGGCUGAUACCGCCCAAGAGUUCAUAUCGACGGCGGUGUUUGGCACCUCGAUGUCGGCUCAUCACAUCCUGGGGCUGAAGUAGGUCCCAAGGGUAUGGCUGUUCGCCAUUUAAAGUGGUACGCGAGCUGGGUUUAGAACGUCGUGAGACAGUUCGGUCCCUAUCUGCCGUGGGCGCUGGAGAACUGAGGGGGGCUGCUCCUAGUACGAGAGGACCGGAGUGGACGCAUCACUGGUGUUCGGGUUGUCAUGCCAAUGGCACUGCCCGGUAGCUAAAUGCGGAAGAGAUAAGUGCUGAAAGCAUCUAAGCACGAAACUUGCCCCGAGAUGAGUUCUCCCUGACUCCUUGAGAGUCCUGAAGGAACGUUGAAGACGACGACGUUGAUAGGCCGGGUGUGUAAGCGCAGCGAUGCGUUGAGCUAACCGGUACUAAUGAACCGUGAGGCUUAACCUU
RNAcentral lists this ribosomal RNA (1003 nucleotides) under human gut metagenome. Its description in RNAcentral is "bacterial LSU rRNA". It matches the Rfam family "Bacterial large subunit ribosomal RNA", at positions 1928 to 2925 of the family's 2925-position model. The record is from RNAcentral.